GGAGUUAGCCGGUGCUUCUUCUGUGAGUGAUGUCCUUCCUGCCGGUUAUUGACCCGCAGGCCUUCUUCCUCACUGAAAGUGCUUUACAACCCGAAGGCCUUCUUCACACACGCGGCAUGGCUGGAUCAGGGUUGCCCCCAUUGUCCAAUAUUCCCCACUGCUGCCUCCCGUAGGAGUCUGGGCCGUGUCUCAGUCCCAGUGUGGCUGAUCAUCCUCUCAGACCAGCUACGGAUCGUCGCCUUGGUGAGCCGUUACCUCACCAACCAGCUAAUCCGACAUAGGCUCAUCCGAUAGCGCGAGGCCCGAAGGUCCCCCGCUUUCCCCCGUAGGGCGUAUGCGGUAUUAGCCUGGGUUUCCCCCAGGUUAUCCCCCACUACCGGGCAGAUUCCUAUGCAUUACUCACCCGUCCGCCGCUCGCCACCAGGGAGCAAGCUCCCCGUGCUGCCGCUCGACUUGCAUGUGUAGCUGCCGCCAGCGUCAUACUGAGCCAGAAUACGAACCCGUACGA
This 508-nucleotide ribosomal RNA is filed under the name uncultured bacterium. Its description in RNAcentral is "partial 16S ribosomal RNA". The record is from RNAcentral.